This 246-nucleotide ribosomal RNA is filed under the name uncultured yeast. RNAcentral describes it as "partial 26S ribosomal RNA". It matches the Rfam family "Eukaryotic large subunit ribosomal RNA", at positions 38 to 281 of the family's 3401-position model. The record is from RNAcentral. Lineage: Eukaryota; Fungi.
GCAUAUCAAUAAGCGGAGGAAAAGAAACCAACAGGGAUUGCUCUAGUAACGGCGAGUGAAGCAGCAAUAGCUCAAAUUUGAAAUCUGGCGUCUUCGACGUCCGAGUUGUAAUUUGUAGAGGAUGCUUCUGAGUGGCCACCGACCUAAGUUCCUUGGAACAGGACGUCAUAGAGGGUGAGAAUCCCGUAUGCGGUCGGAAAGGCGCUCUAUACGUAGCUCCUUCGACAAAUCGAGUUGUUUGGGAAU